CCUACGGGGGGCUGCAGUGGGGAAUAUUGGACAAUGGGGGCAACCCUGAUCCAGCCAUGCCGCGUGUGUGAAGAAGGCCCUCGGGUUGUAAAGCACUUUCAGUGAGGAAGAACGCCUGGUGGUUAAUACCCAUCAGGAAAGACAUCACUCACAGAAGAAGCACCGGCUAACUCCGUGCCAGCAGCCGCGGUAAUACGGAGGGUGCGAGCGUUAAUCGGAAUUACUGGGCGUAAAGCGCGCGUAGGUGGCUUGAUAAGCCGGUUGUGAAAGCCCCGGGCUCAACCUGGGAACGGCAUCCGGAACUGUCAAGCUAGAGUGCAGGAGAGGAAGGUAGAACUCCCGGUGUAGCGGUGAAAUGCGUAGAGAUCGGGAGGAAUACCAGUGGCGAAGGCGGCCUUCUGGACUGACACUGACACUGAGGUGCGAAAGCGUGGGUAGCAAACAGGAUUAGAUACCCCUGUAGUC
This 465-nucleotide ribosomal RNA is filed under the name Vreelandella stevensii. RNAcentral describes it as "partial 16S ribosomal RNA". It matches the Rfam family "Bacterial small subunit ribosomal RNA", at positions 338 to 795 of the family's 1533-position model. The record is from RNAcentral. Lineage: Bacteria; Pseudomonadati; Pseudomonadota; Gammaproteobacteria; Oceanospirillales; Halomonadaceae.